UUUACCGAGAGCGAACUCGGUCGAAUGGCGUUGGUGUGUACGGCAUGGCCGUACGGGGCUAGUAUGAGUUGCAGGAGUGCGACGGAAAGGGUUAUUUUCGCAAGUUCAUGUUGUCAGGUUUCCGUUGCGGCUUCUGCCUAACCUACAGCUAGUAUCCGGAAGCAGAGUCGCAAUCGGUAACCAGGCUCACCUACUCUUUAUGGAAGCAAGCACACGCUGUCCUGCUUGUUCGUACGAUCUCUAAGCGAUAAGGCAACUAACUACUCACGAAAGCGAGCCCUCGUAAUGCCUAGUGUACUUAUAGGGACGAUAUACACCCAGGGCGCGAGCUAUAGACGAGCAAUAAUUUUACAGGCCAGGCUUCGAGGAACAAACAGUGUCUGACUGCAGUAGCUGUGGUAUAGUACGGCGGCGCACAAAACAGCAAUAAACAAGUGCUAAGUCUGUGAAAUACUUGAGCGUCUACAAAUUGCGGCCUGGUAUAUUAGAUUGGGACCGUCUAUUCUGUUAUACCAGGGUGCCAUCUAUAGACAAUCAUAACAUUCACAGACGUUACGCGAUCCGCAAGCAUCUUGAGAGGCUGGUUGCACUCUCAGCAACCAGCCAGCUACUGCAAUAAAGGCGUCAUCACAUUUACUUUGCUAUCAAUCUCCUUAUGCGGCUUAUGCGGCUUAUGCGGCUAGUGAGCGAUCGAGGUUAACCUUAAGGUUUGAAGGCACGCAAAUGUGUUGAUUGGCUGAGUCCUUCGAGAUAGCUUACUACCCAGGCAAGGUAAGUAGCCUGCUCAUUACAUUUGCGUGAACCAGUUCAGUACCGCACUCAAUUGUCGUAGUUUAUACAGAUGCAUGCAUGCAUAUUGCUAGCUGACCAGGAACUAAGUUGAUGCGCCGUUGAUCCGCUAGAUUUGGUUGGAUGCUGGUGGUGAGUUGCUGAACCCAACGAAUACAUUCUGAAGUCGGAUGGGGUGAACGGUUUAGGGUGCCCCUCUAGCAGGGGAGAGCAGGAAACUGCCUCGGGAAAGGGGGCCGCUGGUGAAGCUUUACCACCCUGUAACAACAUACAUAUUCGUACUUAUCACGUACCUUUCACGUAUAGGCACGACCCCAGAGCUGCUGUCUGGGGCGUGGCGCUCCUCUUGACCCAGCCGGCGGUGUUAAAGGCUUUGCAGCUGGGAUUACUGUUGCAGGUGGCCAGCGCAUUGGCCCCAAAGUUUCCGAUGUCGUCACCGUAGCGAUCCACGUCUGGCUUGGAGAUGUAUCCAUAAUACUGCUGGCACACAGUCGCUGGAUGCAGAAAGAAGAAGGGAUUGGAUCAUGCAGGUCACACCCACACAUACAUGAAAAUGUACAUAUGCGCACUUCAGCGUGUCGCUGGUUUGCACACAAACAUACCGAUCGUCACCAUUCCCCUGCAUGAACGUACCCUUCUUCACGUACAGACACGACCCUGGAGCAGCUGUCUGGGGCGUGGCGCUCCUCUUGACCCAGCCGGCGGUGUUGAAGGCCUUGCAGCUGGGAUCACCGCUGCACUGGGCCAGCGCAUUGGCCCCGAAGUUUCCGAUAUCGUCACCGUACCGAUCCACGUUCGGGAUUGAGGUGUAUCCAGCAUACUGUUCGCACACUGCAGAGCAGGGUAACAGAGGUCAUAGGCAGCAGGUAGCUUGAUUGCAUUCAUGGUAUGGUGUAACAUCCCGGGCAUAUAUCUGUCCCCAUUGUUGUGGAUCUCAACAUCAGCGUGUGCACAAGUAGUCUUUUUCUGGUAAGGCAGGAUUGAAGAUACGAUGUGCUUACAGAGGGGUAUGGCUGCAUUUGUGGUGUGUUUUCUGAGUGAAACGAAAUUAAACCAAGGUUUAAUGUGUGUUUACCGAGAGCGAACUCGGUCGAAUGGCCGUACUGGGCUAGUUAUGUCGCAGAAGUGUGACGGAAGGUGUUAUUUUCGCAAGUUCAUGUUGUCAGGUUUUCGUUGCGGCUUCUGCCUAACCUACAGCUAGUAUCCGGAAGCAGAGUCGCAAACAUGCCGUCCUGCUUCUCCUUACGAUCCCUAAGCGGUAAGGCAACUAACGAAAGCGAGCCCUCGUAAUGCCUAGUGUACUUAUAGGGACGUUAUACACCCAGGGCGCGAGCAAUAGACGAGCAAUAAUUUACAGACGAGGCUUCGAGGAACGAACAGUGUCUGACUGCAGUAGCUGUGGUAUAGUACGGCGGCGCACACAACAGCAAUAAACAAGCGAACUACUAGUAAAGCGAUCCGCAAGCAUCUUGAGAGGCUGGUUGCACUCUCAGCAACCAGCCAGCUACUGCAAUAAAGGCUCAUCACAUUUACUUUGCUAUCAAUCUCCUUUUGCGUCUUAUGCGGCUUAUGCGGCUAGUGAGCGAUCGAGGUUAACCUUAAGGUUUGAAUGCAUGCAAAUGUGUUGAUUGGCUGAGUCCUUCGAGAUAGCUUACUACCCAGGCAAGGUAAGUAGCCUGCUCAUUACAUUUGCGUGAACCAGUAAGUACCGCACUCAAUUGUCGUGGUAUAUACAGAUGCAUGCAUGCAUAUUCGUACUUAUCACGUACCUUUCACGUACAGACACGACCCUGGAGCAGCUGUCUGGGGCGUGGCGCUCCUCUUGACCCAGCCGGCGGUGUUGAAGGCUUUGCAGCUGGGAUUACUGUUGCAG
This 2662-nucleotide long non-coding RNA is filed under the name Volvox carteri. RNAcentral describes it as "long non-coding RNA (VCAR_LNC001190)". The record is from RNAcentral. Lineage: Eukaryota; Viridiplantae; Chlorophyta; Chlorophyceae; Chlamydomonadales; Volvocaceae.